RNAcentral lists this ribosomal RNA (306 nucleotides) under uncultured bacterium. Its description in RNAcentral is "partial 16S ribosomal RNA". It matches the Rfam family "Bacterial small subunit ribosomal RNA", at positions 507 to 807 of the family's 1533-position model. The record is from RNAcentral.
GACAGCAGUCGCCGCGGGAAUACGUAGGGUGCGAGCGUUAAUCGGAAUUACUGGGCGUAAAGCGUGCGCAGGCGGUUGUGUAAGACAGGUGUGAAAUCCCCGGGCUUAACCUGGGAACUGCGCUUGUGACUGCACAGCUAGAGUAUGGCAGAGGGGGGUGGAAUUCCACGUGUAGCAGUGAAAUGCGUAGAGAUGUGGAGGAACACCGAUGGCGAAGGCAGCCCCCUGGGCCAAUACUGACGCUCACGCACGAAAGCGUGGGGAGCAAACAGGAUUAGAUACCCGCGUAGUCCCUGUCUCUUAUAC